ACCUUACGGGCGGGGACGAAGGCACACUCUGAACUAUGUUGAUCAUAGACCGACCCGCUGGCUGGCUUGCUAGCUGGCUGGCAUCAUUGUAAUCUAAUCAAGGUGAAGAGACCGACAGUCGAUGCAAUGAUCCCGUUCAAGGUUUCCUGACCGCAUAUGGGUUAUUGUUUUGUUUUAGUUGCGCGGUGAAUCCCGGAAGUGAGGUCUAAAACAGUUCUAUGGGAGUCGCCAAGGUGGAGACAAGUUGGAACAGUGAUGCCAGCUGAUUUUUCUUUUGAAUUUUGUCACAAAGUGCGAAACGUACAUUAUUUCUGACUAAGAGUACACCUAUAUCAGCAGUUAUGAGCGGAUGUCAUCCGGUAAUUGGGUUCUUUAGGGGUAUCUAGAUUAUUUCAUAAUCGGAAUCUCCACUUGGUAAGUUUGCCAACAGAUGACACUAUCUUGCGACGCUGUCAGUCAUGUUGUUACUUUUCCGUACGGAAUAAUAUGUCAAUUAUUUCGUACCAAAGACGUUGGAAUUUCCGGGGAAUUUAUCAAGGAGUUUCUCAGGAGUUUUUUUCCAUGAGUUCCUUGUAAAUUCUUUAAGGUAUUCCUCAGAAAUUUCUCCAGGAGUUCCUUGGGAAAACUUCAAGAAGUUCCACGAGAAUUCUUACAGGAGUUCUUCGGAAAUUUCCCCAAGAGCUCCUCGGGAAUUUCUAAAGGAGUUUCACGGGAAUACCUUCAGGAAUUCUUCUGAAAGAUCUCCAGGACUUCCUCGGGUAUCUCUCCAGGGGCUCCUUGGUAAUAUUCCCAAGAGAUUCCAGGCAUUUUUUCCAGAAGUUCCUAGGAAAUUGUUUUAUAAUUUCCUCCGGAAUGCCUCUUUAAAACUUCCCUAAGAAGUUCUCUGGGAAUUUCUCAAGGAGUUCCCCGGGCGUUCCUUCAGGAGUGUUUCUGGAUUUCUUCUAGGAAAUGCUUGGGAAGUUCUCCACGAGUUAGGAGAACCUUAGGAAAUUUUGCAGAAGUUCUACAUGAUUUUACUCAGAAGCUUCUCGGGAAUAUCUUCAGGAGUUCCUAAAAAAAUCUUUUAAGGAAUCUUCGAAAAACUCCUGGAGGGAUUCCUGAUGAAUUCCCGAGGAAUUUUCAAGGAACUUCUGGAGGAAUUCUCGAGGGACUGCUGGAGGAAUUUCUAAAGGGGUUCCUGGAGCAAUUUCCGACGAACGUAAGGGGAUCGAUUGUGAUUGGUAUUAUGCUAGCGGAGAUUUUCGGCUUCCAGUCUCUAUGUAAUCAUAAACGGAUAUUGGUUCAACACCUGACGUUUCGGUCACAUAUUGUGCCUUUUUCAAAGGAUAGAUACAGUCUCUCCGAUUACUCGUGAUGUUAUGUAUGUUAUGUGAUGUUAUGUACGUCUUCACUUCAGUGGUUGAGUUCGUUGGUUGGCGCACUUUUUCAAAUCUAUCAGUACGCCGCCGAUAAGAGGUAGAUCGUAGGAGGUAAAACAGAUCGAUACUGAUAGAUUUGAAAAAGUGCGCCAACCAACGAACUCAACCACUGAGACUGUAUCUAUCCUUUGAAAAAGGCACAAUAUAUGUGACCGAAACGUCAGGUGUUGAACCAAUAUCCGUUUAUGAUUACAAAGAGACUGGAAGUCGAAAAUCCCCGCUAGCAUAAUUUCCGACGAACUCCUGGAGAAAUUCCCGAGGAACUCCUGGAAGAAUUCCCGAGACAUUCCUGGAGGAAUUUCCGGUGACUUUUUGGAGCAGUUCUCGGAGAUUUCCUGGGGUAAUUCCCUAGGAACUCCUGAAGGAAUUCUCUGAGAACUCCUGGAAUAUUCUCGGAGAAUUUUUGGAGGAAUUUCCGGGGAACUUCUGGAGAAAUUCCCGGAGAACUGCAAUAACUCUUGAAGUUAUUCUCGGAGAACUCUUGGUGAAAUGUUCGGGGAACUUCUGGAGGAAUUCCCAGGAAACUCCUGAAAAAAAAAAAAAUCCCAGGGAACUCCUGGAGGUAUUCCCGAAUAAUUUUUGGAGGAAUUACGGGGAACUCCUGAAGGAAUUCUCAGGACAUUCCUGGGGAAGUUCUCGAGAAACUCCUGGACGAGUUCCGGGGGAACUAUAGAGGAUUUGUUUUGUGUGAAACUUGUGCAAACAUUUGUGGGGAACUGCUGGAUGAAUUUCCGGGCAUUACUAGGGGACUUUUAAGAAUUAUUGCGGGAGGAAUUCGUGGGGAUUUUCUAGAAAUAUUUCGUUGAAUUCUUGGAAGUAUUCCUGGGGAAGUCAUGGAGGUAUUCCCGGGGACUUCUGUCUUGGCUUCUGUAGGAAUUUUCAAGGAACUCCUACAGGAAUUAUCGUAAAACUCUUGAAGGACUUCCAGGGAUAUUUGUGGAUGAACUUCUGUUUAGAUUCUGAAGAAAUUCUCAGGGUUAUUACGGAGGAAUUUCCGGAAAAGUGUUAUACAUUCUUGGGGAACUGCUUGAGACAAAUUUAGAAUCAAUUCUCAGCAAUAUCUCAGAAGGAAUUCUGGAAGACUCUAGGAGGAAACCCACAAAUUGCUUCAGGAAGAAUUUCAAAAGAAACUAUUGUAGAAAUUCCUAAAGAAACGACUUUAAGAAGCUCUUGAAGAAUUUCAUAAGCAUAACAAAAAAAAAACUGAAGCUUUCCCAGAAGAAGGGUAAAAAAUAACUCUAACGCCAAAGGAUGGCCAAGGAAUUCCACAAGGAUGAAUCCCACAUAGAACUCCUGUAUGAAUUGCACAUCAGCAUCGUUUCGUUAAAAUGCUGUCAGUUAAACAAAUGUCAAAAUCACUUACGGAAAAAGGAGGAAUUUUACUUGAGCGCUCUACUUGAGAACAGGAAACUUACCAUUAGUCGAAAUUUGAAAUUAGAAUUGCUACCUUCCCGCCCAUUACCAAAGCACAGACACUUGGGACUAAGAAAGGUAUAUGUAGACACCUGAGGUGUCACGGGAAUUUAAGUGUUGUUAGUGUAACGGUUAAGUCCAAAGGAUACGUUUGGUCGAUUUUUAGGUGCCACAACAAUAUACAGAAACAAACUCACCAAAUUUUACGAAUUCCAGUACUCUCGAGAUGAAUUUGUUGACUUCCAUUUGCAUCUUCCGGACAUCCAGCGGCCAUAACAUCAAACAUUACACGGAAAUCACGCGAAAAUGAAAACGAAUUCUGGCAACCUCGAUGGGUAUACGACAAACUCUCACAACAAUAGCGAGUUAUCCUACUCAACAGUUCGUGAUCCGCUAAAUUAUCAGGCAAGAGAAACUUGUAGAACACCGAACAUCCAUUUGCAAGCACUUUCCGAGGUAAAAUUUGCUGAAGGCAUAGCACCACCAGCCAUUUCUCAAUUCGGCUGAGCAAAUUCAAAACAACGCGAAGCAAAGAAAACGCGCGAUAAUUUUGUAAAUGCAGCCGUUCGCGCGCACCGCCUGCUGCGAUCCAUCGCGAUUUCUCCUUGAAUUUCUUCAGAAUUUCUGUGGUUUUUUUUUCAGGAAUUCUUAGGGAUAUUAUUCCAGAACUUGCUCUGGGGGUUGCUCCAAGGAUUGCGAUAGAAAUUCCUUCAGAGAGUCCUACAGGGAUUCCUCCAGGAAUUGCUCUGGGGAUUCCUCCAGGAAUUGCUCUAGGGAUUCCUCCAUGAGUUCCUGCUGGGAUUUCUCCAAAAAAUUCUGAUGGGAUUGUGAUAGGAGUUUCUGUAGCGCUUACUGUUGGAAUUGCUUCAGCAAUUAAUACUAAGACUCCUCCAGGAAUUCUUCAAGGGGGUCCUGUUUAGUUUCCUUCUGGGUUUUUCUCCAAGAACUCCUGCGAUUUCUUCAAUAAUUCUUCAAGGCAUUCUCCCAGAAAUUUCUGUAGCGGUUGCUCAACUAUAGAGAUUUCUACAGGGAUUUCUGUGAGGAAUCCUCUAGAGCAGGAUUCCCACAGGAAUUCUUUUGGGGAACCCUAUUCAGAUUUCUACAGAGAAUCUUCUAGGUAUUCUUACUGAGUUGUUUUCGGAGAUUUCUUCUGCAAUUCUUCCAGGAAUACUUCUAUGGAUCUCUCCAUGAUUUAUCUAUGUUUUUCUUCAGGUAUAUUUCCAAGAAUUUCUUUCGGUAUUCUUCUUGGAAUCCGGGUUCCGUGUUGCUGCUGGGACUACUCCAGGUAUUGCCGUUAGAAUGUCUUCAGGAAUUCUUGCUGCGACUCCUCGAGCAAUCCUUGCUCUGAUUCUUCCAGAAAUUCCCCCUGAGAAUCCUUCAGAAAUUCUUCCUGUGAUUCCUCUAGGGAUUUCCGUAGACAUUCCUUCAGAGAAUUCCCCAGAGAUACCAACAGGAAUUUCUCUAGGGAGUCCUCUCGAGAUUGCACGAGUUCAUCUAAGGAUUCCUCCAGAGUUUACUUCUGAGGUUUCUCCAAGAACACCUCUAUGGAUCCCUCCAGGGAUUUCUCUAGAUAUUCCUCCAGGCAUUUCUGCAAAGAUUUCUCCAAGAGUUCCUCCAGGGAUUUCUGGACUUAAGAUUUCUCCAAGACUAAUGAUAAGCAUUUUAGGAAUCGUUGUUGGUUGUUGAAAUGGCUGUUGAAGUCGCGAAGUUUAGUAUAAGGAACGUUACUUAGCUCUAUUGCAUUUUUGGCAUGAAGUUCUAUGUCUCCGAACGUUAUUUCAGAUAUUCCUGACAUUGCAGAUUUCCUGUCGAUUUAUCGAACACGUUGGAGCCCUAGACCAAUGUGGUCAGUGAAAGAAUUACAUAUACAAAUCCGAUGAUCCGUUUCGCAUGAGGACGUUUGGUACAAUGCGAAUCAUGUACGCGACCUGUUUUUGUGUAAAAUGGGAUUACGUGAAACCGAAGACCACUUUAUCAAGAAGACUUGCAGCACUGCCGAAAAUCGGGAGUCACUGUUAGAAGCGCUACCUCGGGUGAAGGUGGCCUAUUAAUUAUAGUGUGUGUAAAUCUUCAUACUCGCACCAAUACACUCUUACACUUUUAUACAAAGGUAUUACCUUAGCUCAACAGGCGGCGGUGCCGUCGGUGACGCUUGCCGUUAGUAUGGGAAAAUAACAGAGUUCCAUGUCUACUUGAUAAAGAAGUCUUCGGUGAAUCGUUCAUUAUGCCGAAUGUCCUUAUGCGAAACAGCUUUAUACGAAAUGGGUCACCCUUCUUCCCUCAUUUGUGCUCCUGUAAAACCUUUGGAUUUCAUCAACAAACUUGUCAUUAAAAAAAUCCAGAAAAACUGCGGGCCAUCGAGUCUUCCUUGACCACUACCGUCCGCCGCGUCGGUUAAGAUGUGGUAAUAAACUGCGAACAAGUGUGCUAAAAGUGUCAUAAAUCAAUACACGAGAGGAGUACCCGCGAUGCACGAUGGUACUAUGCGUCGGGUUUCAUACAGGCGGUACCUGCUUUGUUGUACAGAUUCUGUCAUAAUUUAUACGUUUACAGCAGCCUACUCUGAUCCAUUCGAAGGGCGCAUGAUGAACCAUGCUCAAUCGCUUUGGCUCAAUCUUUGCAUUGAAUGAUUUGUCGCAUCAUCACAGAGUUGCGUCCGUGAGACGCGGGAUAUCUCGGAACUAAAUAACGCAUCCGGCAGCCUGUAUCGAAGUCAACUUGCGAGUGGGAUGUGUCAUCCCAAACGUGUAAUUUGGGGAAGGCCAAUCGUACGCGCGCAAAGAUGUCGUCGCGCCGCGCCGGCCGUGUAGUAAAUAAAUAGUGCAAAUUCCGAGGGUCAAACAAACACGAAUUCUCGCACGGGGAUCAUUCUUUCGAACCGUCUGUCUGCAGGUACGAGCCCGGUGGGGACGAUGGAUGAUUCACCAUCAGACGAUGGUAGUUAGUAAACGAUUACUCUAAAAUUAAAAUCGCCUCAGUUGAAUAUGCGCGGACUGGCCCGUUUCGAGGUUUGACCACAGACGACAGACUGAUGGGUUUUUGGUGGUAUUGACAACGAGAAGUUGUUUUACAUUUGAAUUUAAAUUGCCUUUGAUAAAUUUUCGUAAAACGUGCGAAACUAAGACGACACAACAUUGAUAAACGGUAAACGAGAAUAAAAAGUUCAUCUGGGUUCAUCCAAACAACUUAUUGAUGUACUAUGAUUCCUUUGUUUUAGAAUGAUAGCAUUAGCAGUAGCAUCGUGGUGGCGCUGCGAUCUGUAAUGCAAGGGGUGACUGUGAAACUUGUCAAGUAGAAUCUUUCAGAUUCACCACUGCACACAGCGAAAAAAACCAAAGAAACUCAUCAAAAUACCUUAUGGUUUUUUUUGCCAUAACUCAACUGUAUGGAUGCCAUAAGAAUAUCUUAUGGAACCUAGUUUUCAUAAGUUAUCCUUAUGGCAUGGCAUAAGAAAAUCUUAUGAAAAUGAGUUUUAAUAAGAUUUUCCUUAUUUCAUUCAUAGUUUUGUGGUGGAUUGCGUGGUUGCGUGCUUCGCUUUCUGACAGUUGAACUAGAAGUGUUCUGAAUCUUGUGCUUAGCCUACUUGAUCACGCUCAACUACCACAUCUCCUUUUCUUUAUAAUUGAAUGAGCUUUUUAUAUUUAUUCAAAAUGGUGUUUUGUUUCAACGAUUUGGCUUGAGAACGGGUCAACGGAUCUACAUAUAUUUUUUUACUAGAGGGUCUUUAUUAUGUCAUGCCCUCACCGACCAACCCGAGGUUGUCCGUGAGGGUCUUUAUUCUGUCAUGCCCUCACCGACCAACCCGAGGUUGUCCGUGAGGGUCUUUGUUCUGACAUGGUCUCACCGACCAACCCGAGGUUGUCUGUGAGGGACUUUGUAUAGGAUCCGCCGGAUGUGAGCUUGCAAUUUCAAGUUUCACUAGCUGACCCCGGCAAACUUUGUCUUGCCUACUGCGUUUUUUGACGUUUCAAGUCUUCAGCCAAGACCAAGUCCCCGUUCAAAAUGUAUGAAGAAUGGAUUUUCAAAAACUCUCGAUUUCUCCAUGUUUUAUGGCUCAUAAACCUUCCUUGGGUGAAAACUAACAGAACAAAGCUAAGACGACCCAAAUCGGUCCUUCCGUUCUCAAGUUAUGCGCGGUCCCACGUAUGCCACUACAUUUUAUAUAUAUAGAUUGGUAAAUCUUGCCGCGGUAGAAGGUCUUGUACGGAUGGAUUCCCUCGUAGGCUAGUUGGUGGAAUUUGCAUGCCAAACCAGGUCAGACUUUUCUUCACAUUUUCGUUUAAAUCGUCCUCAUCUUGAUGCGAAUUUUCAUCAUCUUCGAUUUGUUAUAACUUCUUCAGCAUUUUCUCCAAGAUACCAUCUUCGUCAGCCAUUUGUGGUGGGUUGCGUGGUUGCGUGCUUCGCUUUCUGACAGUUGAACUAGAAGUGUUCUGAAUCUUGUGCUUAGCCUACUUGAUCACGCUCAACUACCACAAGUUUAAUUAUAGCAAGAAUCUCAUGAAUUGCCUAAGGUUUUUUAGUUACGUGUGUGGUAUGUAGUUGUUGAAAUAUUCUUAAACAUAUUUUCAUUCAAAUUCAGCUUAUUUUUUCGAGGAAAAUUUAUUCUACCUUUUCAUUCUCUAUUCUCUAUGAUCCAUUCGAACAGUAGAUUAUUCACCACGUACAAUCCUGGGUCAACUAGUAGUCAAUUAGUAUCGUAUCGUCUGAUCACACCAGAAGGUGCUGCGCGCCUUUUAUUGGCCGAAAAGUGAAAUUUAGCAUUACCAGUCCAAAGGUGAUUAAUUUUGCUUAUUAGGGCAUCUUCCAACAGCAACAACGGUGCACAAAAGCCGCCGCCGGUCGUAAAUUGCACGUUUAACUGCAAAUUGCCACUUGCAGUCAGACCUUUCAGGCGUUUAUCAUACCAGAGGAGCAGGAUAAAUUGACAAGCCCGUCUUCGGAGGAACGGGUUUUUGCAAAAUUAUGACAUUACGAAUCAGUUGCAUUUUGGUAAUUUAGUACAUAGUGUGAAUUGUGGCGUUCAGAAAGCUAUGCAGAGUAAUUCAAUUAAAUCGAGAAAAAAUCAACAAGGAUAUCCAGCAAUCUACGAGCGCCAAUGGCCGCCACAAUCAUGCUGGCUUUCUAGCAGGGAUAGCAUGAUCUGACGUUUGGCUUGUGUCGUUUGACAGCUGAUUGAUAAGAUUUACGAUCGUCAAACGACGCACGAUAAACGUCAGAUCAUAAUAUCCCUGCCAGAAAGCGAGCAUUAUUGUGGUACCCAGAGAUGCUCGAAAAUUGCUGGAUAAUUCUGAGCAGAAAAGUCAUGAAGAUAAAUAUAUUUAAGACUUUUAGAGAUGUCAAUACUAUUGAAAGGAUCCAAGAUCGCGGAAGAAACUUAGAGAUUCUCGAGAUAAAUUCCAAAUUUUUAACAUAGGGUCUGUGACCAUUUGGGCCGGGGGGCCUAUUUACUGCUAUAACUCAGUCAAUUUUGAACCAAUUGACUUGAUUUUUGGGAUACGAUAAGAUACGCACAGUAUCUAAACAUGUGCAAAAGUUCAUGUAAAUUGGUUUGAAAUUGACUGAGUUAUAGCAGCAUGUGUCCAAAAAAAGCCCUCCUGCCCAAAUGGUCCCAAGGGUCUGGGUCUAUCAUAUGCUUAGAAAAUACGACGCAGAAACUUAGAUUUAUCCAUUUAUUUCAAUUUAAUAUUCCACAAGAAUGCUUCAAUACAAAAAAAAAGCCUGUUUACAAAGACUAAAGAAGUUGAGAAUGCAAAAUCAGUCACAUCAAGAACCUGUUCUCCCACUGACUGGAUACCCAGGAGAUUGCAUUCAAUAUCUCUGGAAAUGACGCGUUGAUCGCUCCCAAAAAUGUCCCACUAAUGGAGUUGGUAAACGAUAACAAAAAAAACGGCUCAUUCAGGGUCAUUACACAAAUUUGCAUGGAUGCAUUCUGCAUCCGCGUUUGCCGAAACUCGACGAGCAAUGCAAUAAACGUCUUUAUAAAUUGCGCACCAAACAGGUUCGGGGCACCGGGGUGAUCAACGCCUUCAUAACGGGGACCGACGACCGUCGUCACCGUGCAAGCAAAUUGUGUGCACUUUAGGAGAAGUGACGGUGGUGUCGCAACGGGUGACAGCCUCCUUCCUUCCCCUCUGGCCAUAAUUCCUCGAAGACAAACCUCUCCAAUCUCCAUCAAAGUUUGCCGCUUUCCGAUCAAGGUGGAUUGAGUUCAUUAAACCAGUAGGCGGAUUCCGGUUCUUUGGGACAUUUUUGUGAGUUUUAACUUUACUUCAUCACUUUGUUGGAACAAGAAAGAGUUGAAAGAAGUUCACUAAAGGCCAGUUUAGACCAAGCGACCAACACGGUGCUUCUAGACUCUAGAAGGAUUCCCGGUGGAAUCCCCUCAGGAUUCCCGGUGGAAUCCCGUCAGGAUUCCGUGUGGAAUCCCGUCAGUAUUCCGAGUGGAAUGCCGUCAGGAUUCCGAGUGGAAUCCCUUCAGGAUUCCCGGUGGAAUCCCGUUAGGAUUCCCGGUGGAAUCCCGUCAGGAUUCCCGGUGGAAUCCCGUCAGGAUUCCCGGUGGAAUCCCGUCAGGAUUCCCGGUGGAAUCCCGUCAGGAUUCCCGGUGGAAUCCCGUCAGGAUUCCAAAUGGAAUCCCGUCAGGAUUUCGAAUGGAAUCCCAGCAGGAUUCCGAAUGGAAUCCCAUCAGGAUUCCCGAUGGAAUCCCGUCAGGAUUCCGAGUGGAAUCCCGUCAGGAUUCCGAGUGGAAUUCCGUCAGGAUUCCGAGUGGAAUCUCGUCAGAAUUCCGAGUGGAAUCCCGUCAGGAUUCCGAGUGGAAUCUCGUCAGGAUUCCGAGCACGCAAAAUCGGCUACGCUCAAAAAUGUGUUCGGCCUGCACAUUUUUAGUAAAUAUCCAUGCCGCACAUGACUGUGUUGGAAACACACAUUUUUUUAAAAUUGCUCGUACGCUCACAUGAGCAUGUAUUUUGCAAUAAUUUCGACAUGGUAACCUCACUGGGUUUAUAAACCACCUUCAAAUACCGAAAAAUAUAGAUAUUUUGCAAAAAUGUGAGCGUACGAGCAAUUUAAAAAAAUGUGUGUUUCCAACACAGUCCCUGUGCGGCAUGGGCGCUACUCAAAAAUGAGAGCUUUUAUUUUAGAGAGAGUGGAAUCUCGUCAGGAUUCCGAGUGGAAUCCCGUCAGGAUUCCGAGUGGAAUCCCGUCAGGAUUCCGAGUGGAAUCCCGUCAGGAUUCCGAGUGGAACCCCGUCAGGAUUCCGAGUGGAACCCCGUCAGGAUUCCCAGUCAAAUUUAACGAAAUCACUUCAAUGAAUUUUCCUUAACAUGUAGGUACUUAAUGAACGCUGGCUAAUGAUCAGCUCAUUUGCAAAAACGAAAACAUCAUUUUUCUACGGAGAAUGGUGGUCAUCGCACCGCCUCAUCCAUCACCAUUGACCAUCAUCGUUCCCAAGAGUCUUCGUGUGAGCUGGUUUCUGUUUGCUUCGAUUCGGGAUGAUUUCGCACUCAUUCACGUCACCUCGCCAACUUGGAUUGUCGCCUUUUGUCGAUUUCUUCGCCAUCGUCGUCGCUUCAUUGAUCCGAGCAUCCGCCGAGCAAGCGAGCGAUCGCGGUUGAGGAGGCGGACGAAAACAACUCGCGUCGCAACGCUCUGCCCGCCUCCUCUUCUAUCUCGGCAGCUAGCGACUCGACUCGACUCGGCGCAGCUAGGGAAGAUCAUCCCACGCCCUCUGACCGACUUCAUCCGAAAACGAGUAGAAGUUCGCCUCGUCGAAAAGGUUUUUCAAAAUGCGCGUGCGAUUUCCGAUUCGGCUUGCUCGUGUUUGAGAGAACAAUGAAUCGAUCGCCGAAUUGAAGGUGUGCGAUCUUUGCGCGACAAUAUAAUUUAGCGAUCGCUCGGCCGGCGAAUCCGAAUGACAAAUAUUAAAUAACUAUUUCAAAUGGAUGGUAAUCAAUUGGAGCAAUCGCGUGGGGUGUGGUUGACAUUGAGGAGAUAAGUUAUCUUCUGUCACAAUUGGAAGUGGGCGGAAAUCGAUCCUUAAUUGGAGCAAUUCCACUUGAAAAAAUGAUUUAUUUUUAUUGUUUAUGGUUGUAGUGGAAUUGACACAUUUAUAACGAAGUAAACAAGUAGUAAUUGCAUUCAGCGGGGUCUAUUGAAGUGGAAAACUUGUUCUUAUCAGGCGUGUCGGAUCUAGACUAUAUUACAAUUUCGUCACUUUGCUGGAUCUACUGCAUCCUAUUGUAGAUUGUAAUAAACGAUCGGUUUAAUUAGAUGCAUACCUACGUAGAACACGUGCCGCUUCUCACAGCCGCCCUUCCCAGUCUUAACCAAUGAGGAAUAGGAAAGGUCAUCAAAGUCACCGUCGUAAAAAGGGUCGAGUGAUCUCCGAUAGAUCGAUAAAUUAGCAAAUUCCAGAUCCAGAGAUCGCCCCGACGCAGUUGGCGUUGAUUCAAGAUUUUCCGCGAUUGCACACACACAUCCCCACAUACAAACAUCGCGGCGUGAUUAAUUGGGUCUGACACUUGGCAGCGGCCUACUAUACCUACAUAUGUGUACACCUAGAACCGUUUGUAACCUUCGCGUCUCUAGGGCGAAUAUAUUUCUGUCCACACUCAACCCAAAACAAGUGUGGGUGCCCAAUAAAAUUCUCGUCCGCCGUCACCGACACACGCCAAGAAAAACCUUUUGAACGAAACGUUCUCUCGAAAGUGAAAAUAGAUUAUACUUUUCCGCACACCUCUUCACUUCCUCUUUCCCAUCAAAAGAUCUAUGAAAUAAACAAACCAUUUUGGCUCAAUCUUUGAGGGGGACCCUUUCAAGAAAAAGAACGAUCAUUACUGUCGUCUCAAUUUGGCCGCAGUAAACCACCAGGUUGAUUUAUCGCCUUGACAACGAGGCAACGAGAUUUCCCGUUCCCGUACAACAGGUAGGUAGAUCAGCAGAGACCAGAUUCGAUGAUCGGACGAAGGCAAGGCCAAGGUCAACGGAACACCACGACGGUUUUGGCCGCACAUUUGCGCUUGCGGCACGUGAGUGUGUCCAAUUGAAUUAGGCGUUACUAAAAGCUUGGCAGGCAGCAGCUGUGACAGUUUGCGUCAUGGCGACGGAAGGGGUUUCAUGGAUGCAGAAUUUGUGUCAAAUACAUAUUUUUAAGGAAAAAGUGUUGUUUACAUGCAUGUUUUAUGCCUCAUUCACUGUCGUAUCUUAAGGUUGAGCUCGAUUGACCGCCUGUAGAUGUCACUCCACUAUCUGCAGACCAGCUACACUCACACAAGAAAGUAAUGAGAUAGUUGCUUGACACUAACAGGCAUCUCCAAUGUGUGAGUGUUGGUGAACUCCAACUUUUAGGCGAGAAUGGCGCCUGCUACGUCAGGCUGCUGGUCUAUGUAGGAAAAGGGAAAGAAGUGAUGAUUGCAAUCACUGCGUUUGCGAAAGUUCAUGCAGAUUUCGAGUGUUGUUGGUAAAUGUUCAUUUGGAAGAGGGUUCACGUUCGGUACAUGGAUGUCAAAGAUAGCUCAAUACUGAGCUUUUGAUCUCGUGCUGUGUUUAGUCCGGUUCUAAAUUUACAAGCAUUUCGCUCAUUCAGCCAACAUUGUAUACGAUCAAGGCAGUCACAGCCUAUUCGCAACAAACCGCGUAUCUCGUUCACAUUUCAUCCAAGUAAUCGCCCAAUCAACGAUCACCGGAUCGAACUGGCCGUGCCGUUGCCAACAGCAACGACACUUUUCCAUCAUCAUCAUCAUAGAAGGUAAACAUGUUUUCACAUAUUUUUCCCUUGUUUGUACACCCUCGAACGCACUGAAAAAUCUCCCAUACUCUUUAUGGGGGUCCCAAUACUCGAUCUGUCGAACGGAGAGCGCGAUUGGAUUGGGGGCCACCACUUUCCUUCGCUUAUCUGGUUGGUCCCAGUCACACCGUCGACCAGCGAGCGUCGACGACGACGAGAGUGUGAUCCAUAAUGGGAAAUGCUGUACCUACUACAGUGUGCUCCCCAUACUGACAUCAAUAGCCAUUUUAAGCGCGAGAGAAGCCUUCGCGGGAAUGUUUCCACGAACAAUCCCCGGGCCCCGGGUCCGAUUGAAAGUUCGUUGCUUUGAUUCCCCGGACUGAACCGAACCGGUAAGGUUCCUCCUUGUCUCUCGGAGGCAUGUUGGCAAAAAAGUCCCUAACUGAUAGAAAGUGGAUUGAAUUAUGCAGAGAUUUCUUUUUGUCUAAGAAUUCGUACAGUGAAGACCUCAGCAUAUCUAUAAUCAACGGUUAAUGAGGGCACUUUUUUGGAGAAGAUCUGGAAUUGGUUUUACGAAUUCCCUUGAUCUUGAUAGUUAUCUCUUUUCUAUUGGCUUAUAGGGCAUACAUUCGGCCAAUAUAUAGCUUGUCAGCUGUACAAGAGCACAAUUUCAACAUAAAAGGCGAAUAUCAAUGAAACUAAAUCAAUCAAAAUUAGAGCGAGCAUAUUGGAAGUGAUUUUUUAUGAUUUUGUAGCUGGAAAGUCGACUUAUUUAUCGAGGGAUUUCGGUUUUCAGCCAAAGAAAAGCGUUGAGUUUCUUAUCUCAUCGUCAACGUUUCGAUCCAGAUGUUGGAAUCUUCUUCAGGGCAUACGGUUCAUUCAUUUAUAGUAAGGAUCUACAAACUAUAUCUAGACUACACUUACUCGAAAUGAAUCAAUUUGUCUGAUCCUGUGUAUUGAAUGGUUUGCUGAAUAUAAUACACCGCGGCCUUUGUAAUGUUCCAAACGCGCAUUUGCACGAACUUCCACGCGGCAAAUCCUCUUGGAAACGAAUAGCCGCACUUGAGCAAACGCCGCAAUGUUAUCUCCCAUUAAGAAUGGAGUAAAAGGGGAGCAAAAAACGCGGCUGUUCCUUUCCUCAGGGAUUUGCCGCGUGUACUUUUGGGCAAAUGCGCUAAUACAUCUCAAGAUUGAUUGUCGCGUUUUGAUAUGGCAUUGCACAAAUCUCACUGUGGAUUUUAAGCCGUUAGAGAAGUAGUUUGGUACAUAUCACCAGGUGAACUCUGAUUCAACCAGCCGGUACGAACGCAGCAACAACAACAUCGUCAAGAGACUGUACGCACUACAGCUGAUAGAUGCCCGAACGAAACACAGACUCACAAGCUAAAACGCUGUGUGUCCUCGCAUAUACGGGCAGCCGAAAGCGCACAAGCUGAGCCUGCUAGUUGUUCUCAACCCAACAUCUCCAACGUACCAUUUGAGUAAGUUCAUAGCUGAUAUACUUCAAAAUUCUUUCAAAAGUCAGUAUAAUGCUGUCGACUCAAAAACGUCGUUGUUUACCAACGGACAUCGUUAUUGAGAAUCUGUUGACGAGAGCAUUAUGCGCUGCUAACAUUCCUCCCUAAUUUACUAAUCUAAUCUAAUCUAAUCUAAUCUAAUCUAACACAUGCGCAGCCAGUACAAGAAAGCAUCCUGGAAAAUAAUCGGGUUAGAUUACGCCCGAUUAUUUUUCUUGUCAAUAUUGAUAAUUGCAGCAUAUCGAAAAUAUGACACAAGCAUCAAAGCGGCCAGGCCUACUGCGCAGCGUUUACCGCAAAGAUGAUUCUUUGAAAUGAUUCGAUUUCAAUGAACAUUCAUUUUAAAUCGAAACACUUCUCGAAUCUACAGGGGAGGAAGGAUGCGUGGACAUACCGUACCAAACGCUCCGAGAUUUAGAUACAGUGACCCCACAAUUUAUGAAUCGGCAAAAAUGACCACAGUUUAUGGAUCACUCCAUUUGAUCAUCAUGGUGAUUCUUAAAUAGUGUACGAAAUUUAAGGUGAUUCAUCGGUGUGGGGUCACUGUAUAUGAAGUAAGGUAUUUUGUUGUAUAAAUGGAUGUUAAAAUGAGAAAUGAAGCAUGAAACGUUCUCACCGAAUUUUGUUAAUUCAUCCGUGGAUCCACUUGAGGAAUGAAACUUUCUACGUUCCGAGGCCCACGUCACUAUGAGAAGACACAUCCGAUUCGGCCAAACCAAAACUCGCGCACGGCGUCUUUGCACUAACUCAAAAUCACUGCACUAUCGAAAUCUCCAAAAGUACCACUCGUCAUUUCACAAUUGACUCAACAUCCAACACAAAAGUCUGCGGAUCACUUGAUACCACAAAACCCACGACAUCUAUCAUUCGAAGUCAAUAUCUGGGUGGCAUAACACCAAACGGUUCACCAACAGCGAUCAAUGAAAACCCCUUUUUUCAUUUUCGACUGGCAGCCUUCAAACACGAUGCAGGAACUGAUCGCACCCGACCCUGCACCAAAAGCACUACCGAUCACGAAACGUGCAGCACACAGUCCUGUGGACAACAAGUGGACAACGCAAAUCACUCCGGAUGAUAAAGCGUCGGUGAUAGUAUAUCACGAAAACGUCACAGAACAAGAACGCGAAAAAAAUCGUGUCAAGCAGAGAUGGCAUUUCACCGUAGCGAUCUAACAUUCCUCCCUAAUUUACACGUAAAUAUGUGAACGAUCUGUUGCUUGUGCUUCAUAAAGAUCAAGGUAAGUGUGUUUACAUCCAAGGUGGAGGUCAACUGUCAACUACCCUCAGUAAUAUUCAAUCCCUCAGUAAUGUUUGAAUAGUUGUUAGCUCUGGCAGUGUUCGCAAAUGCCGUGACUCCUGGUGAAAAUCUCCCAUUUUGUACCACCCACCGUGCUGGCAGUAAAGUAUAUAGCCUUAUAUCCAGUGUUCGCAAAACUACUUCUCUAACGGCUUUGAAUCCACAGUGAGAAUUGUGAAGUACCAAAUCAAAACACGACAAACAACCGUGAGAUGUACACGGAAUCAGACAAAUUGAUUCAUUUCGAGUAAAUGUAGUCUAGAUGUAGUUCGUAAAACCUUCUUAAUUAAACGAAUAAACCGCAGGCCCUGAAGAAGACCCAACAUCUGGAUCGAAACGUUGGCGAUUAGAUAAGAAAAUCAACGCUUUUCUUUGACUGGAAGCCGAAAUCCCCCGAGUAACUCUUCCCAUUGGUUGUUUGUCUGGGGAUUUUGAUAAGUAUUCCUAAAAUUUCUCCUACAAUUUCCCCAGGAGUUUCUUGUAAGAUAUCUCGAGGAAAUAUUGGACUUCAUUUCCUGGAAGAAAAAAAAAUGGGAUAAACAGAAUAGCGAUUAAUUUAUGGAAAUACACGGUGUUUAUCCUAAGAUUUCUCUGGAGGUUCUCCCAAGCAUUCCUGUAUCAGUUUCACCCAUGGAAUUCUCCUAUUUUUUCAAAGGUUUUUUUUUCAGAAAUUCAUAGAAUAGUUUUUUGAGGAAUUUCUGGAAUAAAUCUCAAAGAAAGUAUGUAUUGGUUGUGUUUUAGUGUGUCAUUUUUUUCUCAUGGAAUUUCUAAUCUUUAUUGAAAUUUCUAGAAAGAAUGAGGUUUCCUAGUGGUUUCUUCGGAACGAUUCUUCCAGGAACUCAUUCUGCGAUUUCUUCCAAUUUCUUUCUAGGGUUUCCUCCAGGUAAUAUUGUUCAAUAUUUUUCCCAGGAUACCUACUACGAGUUUUUAUAUACUUUCUCAGAAUCAGAAAGUGAGUGACAAGCAGGGCGCGGAGGCUGAAACAUGCCGCAUUUCGUCGUUCCCGCGUUUUUGCAUUUUUCUUUGUGUUUUUAGUUCGCACUUGAGUGGAACGCUGAUGGAAGAGUGAAAGGUCGACGGUCGUCAGUGACAAGCAGGGCGCGGAGGCUGAAACUUGCCGCAUUUCGUCGUUCCCGCGUUUUCGUAUUUUUCAUUGUUUUUUGUUCACACUUUGUGUAAAUGAUCGACGAUGGCUCGGUGGCAAGAGACCACAUUGCCCGCAUCGUGGUGCUCGUGUCCGUCGUUAUUCCGAGUUCGGAAAUGCUGAGACCAAAGCCAAACAUAGAAAACCAGCUGGUCAGGAUUACCCGGUGAGUUCGUUCCUUAUUAUUACUUUUUAUAUUUGCACAUGACAUAUAUGGGGAUUUCGGAGGGGUAGCCUAAGGAAGUUAAAUGAACUGGUUUCCGGGCAAAUGUUCGUGGGGUGGCCAGACUUUGUCACGAGAUAACAAUUAUCAUGUUGUUUUCCGAAGGUCUCCAGUGAAUUUAGCUGACCCUGCUACAACAAACCAUCAGGUAGAUCAUUCCGUUCCGGUAUGACUCUGCAGCCAUAGGUAAUCCUUGCGCUGAUGGUGGGUACACAAUCAUCAUCAUCAUCAUCAUCAUCACUUUCUCAGAAUCAGAAGCUCCUGAAAGGGUCGUCAGUGACAAGCAGGGCGUGGAGGCUGAAACUUGCCGCAUUUCGUCGUUCCCGCGUUUUCGUAUUUUUCUUUGUGUUUUUUGUUCGCACUUUGUGUAAAUGAUCGACGAUGGCUCGGUGGCAAGAGACCACAUUGCCCGCAUCGUGGUGCUCGUGUUCGUCGUUAUUCCGAGUUCGGAAAUGCUAGUAUCCAAGAGAUUGUUUUUCAGUGCGUCGGGUAUUCUCGCUUAUGUAUUUUUUUCGGAUUCUUCGAUGGACGACCGGAGAAUCAACGAGCGGUUUGAACGAGUGCACAUUUAAUAUGGUUGGACCGUUUGCAUGCUGAGACCAAAGCCAAACAUAGAAAACCAGCUGGUCAGGAUUACCCGGUGAGUUCGUUCCUUAUUACUUUUUAUAUUUGAACAUGACAUAUAUGGGGAUUUCGGAGGGGUAGCCUAAGGAAGUUAAAUGAACUGGUUUCCGGGCAAAUGUUCGUGGGGUGGCCAGACUUUGUCACGAGAUAACAAUUAUCAUGUUGUUUUCCGAAGGUCUCCAGUGAAUUUAGCUUACCCUGCUACAACAAACCAUCAGGUAGAUCAUUCCGUUCCGGUAUGACUCUGCAGCCAUAGGUAAUCCUUGCGCUGAUGGUGGGUACACAAUCAUCAUCAUCAUCAUCAUCACUUUC
This is a long non-coding RNA of Aedes albopictus (Asian tiger mosquito), 17668 nucleotides long. RefSeq lists it as uncharacterized. The transcript is spliced from 2 exons. The record is from RefSeq and is a predicted model, not a curated record. Lineage: Eukaryota; Metazoa; Arthropoda; Insecta; Diptera; Culicidae.